UUCCAAGCUCCAUGAUCACGCUGCUCACAAGGUGGAACAACAUGGCUCCCACAUCCAGAGUUACAAAGCACAUGACCAGCGUCUUACACUGAGAUCCUUUGAACUUUUGCCACUUACGGAUCUAGCCCCUUGCUUCCUCAACCACUGGCUCAGCUGUAGGAAAUCACAGGACCUUAAUGAGUAAGAGAGGCUAAAAGUCUUGGCUAUCUUUCGGAUAUGCUGCGAGGUGCAGGAAACCUCGGAUGCUGUGGAGGGAGCAGACUUCCAAACCCUAGAACAUUACGUACAGAGAUUGUUCAGCUCUUUACAAUAGAGUGGAGUGAUUAAGAGAGCGGGCUAGAGGUGGUCUGCCGGACUCUGCCACUUCGCUGCUGUGUCAUCUUGGGCAAGUUCUUUAACCGUUCUGUGUUUUAGUUUCAUUAUGUGUAAGGCGGGGAUAAGCAGAGAUGGACCUCUAAAAGCUGAGGUAAUGUACUAAAAGUUUUCAGGACUGUGCCCUACACACUCCAUAUGCUCAGAAAUGAAAAUGUCAGGCAUUAACGGAUUCAAGACUGAGAAACUUGACUGGACCAGGGCUGCCCAGCCUAGAGCAAAGACCCCGGUGAGGAGAGGCGAGCUUUGGUUGCUUCAGGGAUGUUCCACAUACUUGACUCAGAG
Molecule: long non-coding RNA, 657 nt
Organism: Tupaia belangeri chinensis (Chinese tree shrew)
Lineage: Eukaryota; Metazoa; Chordata; Mammalia; Scandentia; Tupaiidae
Exons: 3
Source: RefSeq, a predicted model, not a curated record